Molecule: ribosomal RNA, 464 nt
Filed under: uncultured bacterium
Lineage: Bacteria
Description: partial 16S ribosomal RNA
Rfam family: Bacterial small subunit ribosomal RNA
Source: RNAcentral
CGAACGCUGGCGGCGCGCCUAACACAUGCAAGUCGAACGAGCGAGAGAGAGCUUGCUUUCUCGAGCGAGUGGCGAACGGGUGAGUAACGCGUGAGGAACCUGCCUCAAAGAGGGGGACAACAGUUGGAAACGACUGCUAAUACCGCAUAAGCCCACGGCUCGGCAUCGAGCAGGGGGAAAAGGAGCAAUCCGCUUUGAGAUGGCCUCGCGUCCGAUUAGCUAGUUGGUGAGGUAACGGCCCACCAAGGCGACGAUCGGUAGCCGGACUGGGAGGUUGAACGGCCACAUUGGGACUGAGACACGGCCCAGACUCCUACGGGAGGCAGCAGUGGGGAAUAUUGCACAAUGGGGGAAACCCUGAUGCAGCGACGCCGCGUGGAGGAAGAAGGUCUUCGGAUUGUAAACUCCUGUUGUUGGGGAAGAUAAUGACGGUACCCAACAAGGAAGUGACGGCUAACUACGUG